GAUGAACGCUGGCGGCGUGCCUAAUACAUGCAAGUCGAGCGAACAGACGAGGAGCUUGCUCCUCUGACGUUAGCGGCGGACGGGUGAGUAACACGUGGAUAACCUACCUAUAAGACUGGGAUAACUUCGGGAAACCGGAGCUAAUACCGGAUAAUAUAUUGAACCGCAUGGUUCAAUAGUGAAAGACGGUUUUGCUGUCACUUAUAGAUGGAUCCGCGCCGCAUUAGAUAGUUGGUAAGGUAACGGCUUACCAAGGCAACGAUGCGUAGCCGACCUGAGAGGUGGGUCGGCCACACUGGAACAGAGACCGGUACCACACUCCGACGGGAGGCAGAAGUGGGGAAUCUUCCAAAAUGGGCGAAACCCUGAGGAAGCAGUGCCGGGGGGGGGAAGAAGUCUUUCUGAUCGAAAACCUUUUUUUUUGGGAAAGAAAAAUAGUAGAAUAAUAAACCCCUGUUUUGAGGGAACCUAAAAAAAAGCCAACGCCAAACUCCGUC
RNAcentral lists this ribosomal RNA (497 nucleotides) under uncultured bacterium. RNAcentral describes it as "partial 16S ribosomal RNA". It matches the Rfam family "Bacterial small subunit ribosomal RNA", at positions 28 to 507 of the family's 1533-position model. The record is from RNAcentral.